AAGUUCUUGAACAAAUCCUCCACUGCAAUAGGGGCAUACUGCAUCUCGCCCUCGCAGCCGAACUGGCCUCCUGCAUCUAUAACACCAAUGGGAAUUUCUGCCACUUGACAUUCUCGUCUCCUCCCUAAAUGUCGUCUCAAAUCUCUAACAGACUAUCGUUGCAAGCACUCAGGCUUUAAACUGUUAUCUGUUAUGUAUUGGCUAACAAUCUCUAGGAGAGCUAUAGGAUCUGAUAGCGAACUUUGUGAGGGAGCAAGAGCAUAGUCUAACCCUAAUGGACUUCCCGGAAGAAAAAGUGGUUUUUAU
This 306-nucleotide unclassified non-coding RNA is filed under the name Hevea brasiliensis (rubber tree). Lineage: Eukaryota; Viridiplantae; Streptophyta; Magnoliopsida; Malpighiales; Euphorbiaceae. The record is from RNAcentral.